GGAAAUCAGGGGAAAACGCUUCAUGACAUUUUGCGUCAGGUUGAUUCAAAGUCAUCUGAUGUAACGUGUGUGCGUACCGCAGUACUUCGCGGUCUUCCAGUCCUCCUGGGGGAUGACUCUGAGGAAUUUUUCAGGAUGUGCUUUGAUUCAGAUGUAGAUGCUGACUUCAGUGGAGUUGAUGUUGGCCUGCUCACAGUUUUACCUGAAGAUACGCCUGCCCAAACUCCAAAUGCUCUCAAUGUUGACUCAUCAAGGGCAAUCAUUCUGGAGGGAAGAAUCGUCGUGGAUGAUGUCCCAAACUUGCCACAUGCUGUAUGUCUCCUCUUUGCUUUAAUCUAUGCUCUUAAUUUGGACUACCCAAAGACAAUGAGGAACUCAUUUGAUUUUAUUCAGAGGGUAUUUCUGUUGUUGGGAGGUAAGAAUCUUAAGCCCAAACUCCAAACCCUUAAAAACCAGCUUUUAGCUAAACCUUAGCUAAAUGCCUCUGCUGCCUGUUAAAUAUUUUUGUUAGAUUAUUUUGUAAUUGCACUAAUUUAAGUGUGCAAAAGUUUAAACCUACACUGUAUUUCAGGCUUAUUUAGAGCACUGGUUUUGCUUUUGGUUCAGUUGUGGUUUAAAUUGAACUAUUUCUAAAGCCAAAUGUCUGUAUUUUAGGCAUUUUAUAAUUGUACUACUUUUAAUAGACAUUGGCUUCAGUUCUUCUUACAAAUAGCUUACAGUAUUAUAGUUAUAACU
Molecule: long non-coding RNA, 735 nt
Organism: Triplophysa rosa
Lineage: Eukaryota; Metazoa; Chordata; Actinopteri; Cypriniformes; Nemacheilidae
Exons: 3
Source: RefSeq, a predicted model, not a curated record